RNAcentral lists this transfer RNA (80 nucleotides) under Streptomyces microflavus. RNAcentral describes it as "tRNA-Thr(cgt)". Lineage: Bacteria; Bacillati; Actinomycetota; Actinomycetes; Kitasatosporales; Streptomycetaceae. The record is from RNAcentral.
CCAUCGCUGGCAGAAGGGAGCCGGCGGGGCUUCGUCCGCCUCGCCGCCGUUGAACUGCUGAUCAUGACAGCGGCGAUGGG